AUAUACAAUCUCAUUUAGCUUUAUAGAACAGUUCUUAGACACAAGAAAUGCCAGUCCUCUCAUCAGACCACAUUUCUUUGAUGCUUAAUUAAAGUAUCACUUGUUUUAACAUAACAGAGUUAAAUGAUCCCCUCUAGCUCUAGACACCAGUUCUUAGACACAGAAAAAGCAGCUCGCCACUUCAGGCAUCAGCAAGGUUUUUAGAAGAAUAUAAAUAUCAAGAGAACUUAGAGGCCAGUCCAUUCUUUUACAUUUUCUGUCCAGCUUUUCUUUGGAUGACGUAUCUUCAUGCUUGAUGCACUGUAACUUAACAGAUGACUUUUGACAAUGAGUCACGUGUUAAUAUAAGACAGAACCAGCUCAGCUUUCAUCUCUUCAUAGAUUGAAGAUUGAGCCAGAGUGUUGACUUAAAGUACAUACUCCUUUGUCUUCUUUUCUUGGUAUGCUUUUCACACCAAAAGAUACUGGUAGAAACUUCAUUAACUUCAAAAAACACUUAUGGUUGGGUUUGGCAAGUGAUAACGGUUUCGAACAUAUAGCAUUGAACUUGAUGUUUUCUAACUUUUCUGCCUCCUUUCUACACUUGGCAUGAUCUCUCUAUUCAGUCCAGGACCCCACUUUAUGACUACCAUGUUAUUGGUAUCAUUCUGCUUGAAACGCAUGCAAUAUAAUGUUAAAGCAUAUUAUUUAUUUAGAAUGCACAGAAAUAUUUCGUCUGCCAAAGCUUUCACUGAAUGUUAUGCCAUUUUCUCCCAGCUGUUGAUAGUGAUGGCUCAGCAGAGUUUACAAAAUUAGUGAUGCACAAUUUCAUCACUACUAAACUUCUCAUUUGGCACUACACAUCAUUUAUCCAACAUUUAAUAUGCACACAACAAAGGAUAUGUAAUCAGGCAGAAUACCAAUUAGUAUUACAGUUUUAAAUUAUUUUUCUUUGAUAUAAUG
Molecule: non-coding RNA, 942 nt
Organism: Biomphalaria pfeifferi
Lineage: Eukaryota; Metazoa; Mollusca; Gastropoda; Planorbidae
Source: the annotation of a GenBank genome assembly